Long non-coding RNA from Phacochoerus africanus (Common warthog), 712 nucleotides. RefSeq lists it as uncharacterized. The record is from RefSeq and is a predicted model, not a curated record. NCBI's taxonomy places the organism in Eukaryota, Metazoa, Chordata, Mammalia, Artiodactyla, Suidae. The transcript has 3 exons.
UCUACCAUUAUGUCAGGAGGACGGAUCCAAAUCACGUGACCCUUGGAUGGCUCCCUCACCCCGGCAGGCACCACCUUUAGCUCCCAGGGCUUUAACAGGGAAAGAACAGGUCGGGAAAGCACCUGACCCGUCAUCCCAAGAGCAUCACUGUGCCUUCUGGCCUCCCCGAAGGAUGACACUCUCCUAAUGGUGAUCUGGGUCAUUUCUGUUGCAUCCCAGAGUGCUGGGCCGGAAUGGCUGGCCUCAGAUUGGCCCUCUGAGAGGCCGAGAAAGAGAGCGGGAACAGGCUCAAGCUAAAGAAAUUCCUCCCUCUUCAAGCCCCGAGGUGAGGCCACUGAUUGUUCUUUUCUGUGCCACAGCGACCCAGUCAGGAGAGAACCACUGCAGAGGCUGCCCAGCAUUCCUCCAGGAAAGAGCAUCAGGAGGGAACUCUUCCCUCAGGCAGCGGGAGGGCCCUGCUCACCAGGAGCCAUGUGAGGACCCACCCAACAGGGGACUGUCAGCAACUGGGAAAUCAAGGUUCCCUGAGUCCCAGGAAAGAUGUCUUACCAGCAGCAGCAGUGCAAGCAGCCCUGCCAGCCACCUCCUGUGUGCAUACCCAAGUGCCCUGAGCCAUGUCCACCCCCUAAGUGCCCUGAGCCAUGUCCACCUCCUUGCCCACCUGUGGUGUGCCCACCUCCAGUAUGCCAGCAGAAAUGCCCACCCUGCCCAC